CCUANGGGGGGCAGCAGUAGGGAAUAUUGGGCAAUGGGCGAAAGCCUGACCCAGCAACGCCGCGUGCACGAUGAAGGCCUUCGGGUCGUAAAGUGCUUUUCUGAGGGAUGAGUAAGGACAGUACCUCAGGAAUAAGCCUCGGCUAACUACGUGCCAGCAGCCGCGGUAAAACGUAGGAGGCGAGCGUUAUCCGGAUUUACUGGGCGUAAAGCGUGUGUAGGCGGUUCGGCAAGUUGGAUGUGAAAGCUCCUGGCUUAACUAGGAGAGGUCGUUCAAUACUACCGAACUUGAGGGUAUCAGAGGAAGGUGGAAUUCCCGGUGUAGUGGUGAAAUGCGUAGAUAUCGGGAGGAACACCAGUGGCGAAAGCGGCCUUCUGGGAUAUUCCUGACGCUCAGACACGAAAGCUAGGGUAGCAAACGGGAUUAGAUACCCUGNUANUC
This 441-nucleotide ribosomal RNA is filed under the name uncultured bacterium. Its description in RNAcentral is "bacterial SSU rRNA". It matches the Rfam family "Bacterial small subunit ribosomal RNA", at positions 338 to 795 of the family's 1533-position model. The record is from RNAcentral.